This 253-nucleotide ribosomal RNA is filed under the name uncultured bacterium. RNAcentral describes it as "partial 16S ribosomal RNA". It matches the Rfam family "Bacterial small subunit ribosomal RNA", at positions 524 to 776 of the family's 1533-position model. The record is from RNAcentral.
UACGAGGGGGGCGAGCGUUGUUCGGAAUUAUUGGGCGUAAAGGGCGCGUAGGCGGCUGUACAAGUCAAAGGUGAAAUCCCUCGGCUCAACUGAGGAACUGCCUUUGAAACUGUACGGCUUGAGGCCGGGAGGGGGUAGCGGAAUUCCCAGUGUAGCGGUGAAAUGCGUAGAUACUGGGAGGAACACCAGUGGCGAAGGCGGCUACCUGGACCGGUUCUGACGCUGAGGCGCGAAAGCGUGGGUAGCAAACAGG